This is a small nucleolar RNA of Etheostoma spectabile (orangethroat darter), 70 nucleotides long. RefSeq annotates it as small nucleolar RNA SNORD66. The record is from RefSeq and is a predicted model, not a curated record. The transcript has a single exon. NCBI's taxonomy places the organism in Eukaryota, Metazoa, Chordata, Actinopteri, Perciformes, Percidae.
GUCCUGUGAUGAAGUUAGUGCCACAUAUCUGGGCUACUGAUCUAAGUGAUAGGAUUGCAGAACAAAAGAC